Molecule: ribosomal RNA, 500 nt
Filed under: uncultured Glomus
Lineage: Eukaryota; Fungi; Glomeromycota; Glomeromycetes; Glomerales; Glomeraceae
Description: SSU rRNA
Rfam family: Eukaryotic small subunit ribosomal RNA
Source: RNAcentral
AGCAGCCGCGGUAAUUCCAGCUCCAAUAGCGUAUAUUAAAGUUGUUGCAGUUAAAAAGCUCGUAGUUGAAUUUCGGGGUUCAUACGUUGGUCGGGCUUUUUGGUCUGUACUGGCGUAAUGGAUUCCUACCUUCUGAAUAACCGGCAUGCCAUUAAUUUGGUGCGCCGGGGAAGCAGGACUGUUACCUUGAAAAAAUUAGGUGCUUAAAGCAGGCUAUCGCCUGAAUACAUUAGCAUGGAAUAAUGAAAUAGGACGGCAUGGUUCUAUUUUGUUGGUUUCUAGGAUCACCGUAAUGAUUAAUAGGGAUAGUUGGGGGCAUUAGUAUUCAAUUGUCAGAGGUGAAAUUCUUGGAUUUAUUGAAGACUAACUUCUGCGAAAGCAUUUGCCAAGGAUGUUUUCAUUAAUCAAGAACGAAAGUUAGGGGAUCGAAGACGAUCAGAUACCGUCGUAGUCUUAACCAUAAACUAUGCCGACUAGGGAUCGGACGAUGUUAAUUUUUU